GAUGAAGAACGCAGCGAAAUGCGAUAAGUAGUGUGAAUUGCAGAAUUCAGUGAAUCAUCGAAUCUUUGAACGCACAUUGCGCCCCUUGGUAUUCCAUGGGGCAUGCCUGUUCGAGCGUCAUUUGUACCUUCAAGCUUUGCUUGGUGUUGGGUGUUUGUCUCGCCUUUGCGUGCAGACUCGCCUUAAAAUAAUUGGCAGCCGGCGUAUUGAUUUCGGAGCGCAGUACAUCUCGCGCUUUGCACUCAUAACGACAGCGUCCAAAAGUACAUUUUACACUCUUGACCUCGGAUCAGGUAGGGAUACCCGCUGAACUUAAGCAUAUCAAUAAGCGGAGGA
This 336-nucleotide unclassified non-coding RNA is filed under the name soil metagenome. Its description in RNAcentral is "partial contains 5.8S ribosomal RNA, internal transcribed spacer 2, and large subunit ribosomal RNA". The stretch from base 1 to 120 matches the Rfam family "5.8S ribosomal RNA", at positions 35 to 154 of the family's 154-position model. The record is from RNAcentral.